This 232-nucleotide ribosomal RNA is filed under the name uncultured bacterium. RNAcentral's name for it is "partial 16S ribosomal RNA". It matches the Rfam family "Bacterial small subunit ribosomal RNA", at positions 102 to 334 of the family's 1533-position model. The record is from RNAcentral.
ACGGGUGAGUAACACGUAUCCAACCUGCCGUCUACUCUUGACAGCCUUCUGAAAGGAAAGAUUAAUACAAGAUGGCAUCAUGAGUCCGCAUGUUCACAUGAUUAAAGGUAUUCCGGUAGACGAUGGGGAUGCGUUCCAUUAGAUAGUAGGCGGGGUAACGGCCCACCUAGUCUUCGAUGGAUAGGGGUUCUGAGAGGAAGGUCCCCCACAUUGGAACUGAGACACGGUCCAA